GACGAACCGUCCUAACGUUGUUCGGAAUCACUGGGCUUAAAGGGCGCGUAGGCGGGCGAGCAAGUCUAGGGUGAAAUCUUUCGGCUUAACCGGAAAAUAGCCUUGGAUACUGCUGGUCUCGAGGGAGGUAGGGGUCGUUGGAACUUCCGGUGGAGCGGUGAAAUGCGUUGAUAUCGGAAGGAACGCCGGUGGCGAAAGCGAACGACUGGACCUUUUCUGACGCUGAGGCGCGAAAGCCAGGGGAGCAAACGGG
RNAcentral lists this ribosomal RNA (253 nucleotides) under uncultured bacterium. RNAcentral describes it as "partial 16S ribosomal RNA". It matches the Rfam family "Bacterial small subunit ribosomal RNA", at positions 524 to 776 of the family's 1533-position model. RNAcentral also lists the same sequence under 1 other name. The record is from RNAcentral.